RNAcentral lists this small nuclear RNA (115 nucleotides) under Suricata suricatta (meerkat). RNAcentral describes it as "U2 spliceosomal RNA (ENSSSUG00005018279.1)". It matches the Rfam family "U2 spliceosomal RNA". From Rfam's summary of the family: U2 is a small nuclear RNA (snRNA) component of the spliceosome (involved in pre-mRNA splicing). Complementary binding between U2 snRNA (in an area lying towards the 5' end but 3' to hairpin I) and the branchpoint sequence (BPS) of the intron results the bulging out of an unpaired adenosine, on the BPS, which initiates a nucleophilic attack at the intronic 5' splice site, thus starting the first of two transesterification reactions that mediate splicing. Lineage: Eukaryota; Metazoa; Chordata; Mammalia; Carnivora; Herpestidae. The record is from Rfam by way of RNAcentral.
AUCGCUUCUCGGCCUUUUGGCUAAGAUCAAGUGUAGUAUCUGUUCUUAUCAGUUUAAAAAGAGAUCAAAUCUACAUGAUUUCUAUUACCAUAUACUGUUAUAGGUGCUAUAUUUU